AGUGAACGCUGGCGGUAGGCCUAACACAUGCAAGUCGAACGGCAGCACAGUAAGAGCUUGCUCUUACGGGUGGCGAGUGGCGGACGGGUGAGGAAUACAUCGGAAUCUACUUUUUCGUGGGGGAUACGGAGGGAAACUUACGCUAAUACCGCAUACGACCUACGGGUGAAAGCAGGGGAACUUCGGAACUUGCGCGAUUGAAUGAGGCGAUGUCGGAUUAGCUAGUUGGCGGGGUAAAGGCCCACCAAGGCGACGAUCCGUAGCUGGUCUGAGAGGAUGAUCAGCCACACUGGAACUGAGACACGGUCCAGACUCCUACGGGAGGCAGCAGUGGGGAAUAUUGGACAAUGGGCGCAAGCCUGAUCCAGCCAUACCGCGUGGGUGAAGAAGGCCUUCGGGUUGUAAAGCCCUUUUGUUGGGAAAGAAAAGCAGCAGGUUAAUACCCCGCUGUUCUGACGGUACCCAAAGAAUAAGCACCGGCUAACUUCGUG
Molecule: ribosomal RNA, 491 nt
Filed under: uncultured bacterium
Lineage: Bacteria
Description: partial 16S ribosomal RNA
Rfam family: Bacterial small subunit ribosomal RNA
Source: RNAcentral